RNAcentral lists this small nucleolar RNA (83 nucleotides) under Chlamydomonas reinhardtii. Its description in RNAcentral is "CrCD41f snoRNA". The record is from RNAcentral. Lineage: Eukaryota; Viridiplantae; Chlorophyta; Chlorophyceae; Chlamydomonadales; Chlamydomonadaceae.
CUCGGUGAUGACUCGCCCUGAUUUACUUUCCUUUUCCCGAAGCUGAGGGAAACCGUUGCGGAGAAACAUGGCCUGUCUGAGAG